RNAcentral lists this ribosomal RNA (253 nucleotides) under uncultured bacterium. RNAcentral's name for it is "partial 16S ribosomal RNA". It matches the Rfam family "Bacterial small subunit ribosomal RNA", at positions 524 to 776 of the family's 1533-position model. The record is from RNAcentral.
UACAGAGGGGGCAAGCGUUGUUCGGAAUUACUGGGCGUAAAGGGCGCGUAGGCGGCCUGCUAAGUCGAACGUGAAAUCCCCGAGCUCAACUCGGGAACUGCGUCCGAUACUGACAGGCUUGAAUCCGGGAGAGGGAUGCGGAAUUCCAGGUGUAGCGGUGAAAUGCGUAGAUAUCUGGAGGAACACCGGUGGCGAAGGCGGCUACCUGGACACCAACUGACGCUGAGACGCGAAAGCGUGGGGAGCAAACAGG